GUGUCAGCAGCCGCGGUAAUACGGAGGGUGCGAGCGUUAAUCGGAAUUACUGGGCGUAAAGCGCACGCAGGCGGUUUGUUAAGCUAGAUGUGAAAGCCCCGGGCUCAACCUGGGAUGGUCAUUUAGAACUGGCAGACUAGAGUCUUGGAGAGGGGAGUGGAAUUCCAGGUGUAGCGGUGAAAUGCGUAGAUAUCUGGAGGAACAUCAGUGGCGAAGGCGACUCCCUGGCCAAAGACUGACGCUCAUGUGCGAAAGUGUGGGUAGCGAACAGGAUUAGAUACCCUGGUAGUCCACACCGUAAACGCUGUCUACUAGCUGUUUGUGACUUUAAGUCGUGAGUAGCGAAGCUAACGCGCUAAGUAGACCGCCUGGGGAGUACGGCCGCAAGGUUAAAACUUAAAUGAAUUGACGGGG
Molecule: ribosomal RNA, 414 nt
Filed under: uncultured bacterium
Lineage: Bacteria
Description: bacterial SSU rRNA
Rfam family: Bacterial small subunit ribosomal RNA
Source: RNAcentral